CUGAAAGGGAAGAGGAGUGAAUGUCACAAGUGGUGAACUUUUAAGCUGGGCAUUUGCCUCUUUCCUCUUUGGUGUCUGCAAUGGAACCGUACAGCUAGACAGGGAAAUACUAGAGGACUGAUGGAGAAAAGGAGAGAACAGGAAGAUGGUUGGGGGUAAGAAGCAUGAGAAGACGGGCAUCAGGAGCACUUGCAGAACUACUGCAGACCACCCAGAGAUUCAUCUGCAGAUCCCUAUCUACUUUCUAUCCACCUGAUUUAAUCUGUCCAUCCCACUUUCUGCAAUUCCUCUCUCACUCCUUCUGCCUUCUGCAAACACAUGAAACAAGUCUUGGGCAUAACGAGUUCUUGAUAAGACAGAAGAGUAACACAUAUUUACACAGUGUGC
Molecule: long non-coding RNA, 387 nt
Organism: Sceloporus undulatus (fence lizard)
Lineage: Eukaryota; Metazoa; Chordata; Lepidosauria; Squamata; Phrynosomatidae
Exons: 3
Source: RefSeq, a predicted model, not a curated record